Molecule: small nucleolar RNA, 107 nt
Organism: Vicia villosa (hairy vetch)
Lineage: Eukaryota; Viridiplantae; Streptophyta; Magnoliopsida; Fabales; Fabaceae
Source: RefSeq, a predicted model, not a curated record
AAACUGUGAUGCAGACAAAUCCUCAUCAUAUCUUUAUACAUCUUCUAAGCUUCAAAAAGGCACUCACCAUCUUUCGGUCUGAAACAAUUUAUUUGGCUUCGUAGCAU